GAACUUCAGCUGAACAUCUGUAAUGAUUGUUUGAAACAUCUUCUUCUCUGAUAUUGUCAUAUUUUGUUCUCGUGGAAUGCUCCAAAGAUCUUCUAUCUACAGUUGUAGCUGUAUUAUUCGAGUUUUGAUUCAUACAUUAUAAAACCCUAGAGUUUUACUUGGAUUUCUUGUUUUUGAAAUUUAUGCCAAGUUUCCUUUGAAAUCUUCCAAGUCAUAUUAUAGAUUAUUAUCAUCCAUUGAAAUCUUAAUCUUGAGCACCAAUUUUGCUUCUAAACUGACAUCUUUCUUGUUUACGCGAGUGUUUCAUGGAUCAAGCUCAGAUCAAGCGUUAAAUGCAACAACGAGACUUCAAUUCAAGUUUCAAAUAUGGUUGGAGAUGUUUGCUUGACCAUGCUUUCAGAUGAUGAGUUUUCUGACAAACAUCUCCAGCGAUAUUUGAAACUUAAAAUGAAGUCAUCGAGCAAGGAUCCAAGAGGAAAAAGCUAGGUUUUCAAGCCAAUCUCUGUGUUUCCCAAGAGCUUUGUUCUUCCAGGUAUGUAUGGUUAUUCCUAGUGAUAGACUGAGUUCGUCCUCAUGCCCUACAUCUUAAUUCAGGCAGUAAGAGUUAAAUCUAGGAUUAUACCCUUAGCUUCGAGAGUCUCUUAUAUGAGUCGAGUUAUUAUUUAUGAAUUCUAAAUUCUUGAUUAUGAAUAAUUGCACUAUAUUAUGCUUUGAGAUCUUUGAGUAAUUAUUCAUGUUGAUAAUCCCACAUGAACCCUGCUUUCUGAGUUUUGAUUGAGAAUCUUUAAAACAAGCAUCUUUCCUUAAAUUUAUUUUUGAGAAGUUAGCAUGAGUUCAAUAGCAAGUUAAAGUAUAAAUGUCUAUUUUGACAAGAGUUUAAGGGAACUAAAGGAUUCCCAAAAGUAUCAUUUUUAUGUUGAAAAGAAAGUACUAUUUUUCAGAAUGGUAUAAAGAGCUUUCAGGGAUUACAAGAAAUUGAGUACAGAGCAAUUACCUCUUAAAGAGGCCCUUUUGAGAACUUAUCUCAACCCAGAGAGUAUUUUUACUUGAGCAUUGAGUCAUAUAUUUUGAGAAUAGUAUUGAGUAUCGAUAUGGGGAAGAGUUUAGUCAAUUCACAUUCCCCAUAAACCAUGUAGCUAGUGUGGGAUAGGAUCGUAUUGACAUUUGGGCGACUCCUCACUGCCUCUGAGAACGCCUAUUAGAUGGAUCCAUGAGUUGAGUAUGUUCAAUACCCCGACAAGGUACAAGACAAUUCUGACAACGUGGGCGAGAUGCUGUAUCAUCUCAAAGCUCAUAGUGAUGGUUGUCGGUUAAAGAAUCUCCCUGAUUGAGUAAAGGGUAUUUCAUUAUCAUAUUUAUAUUUGACACUUCAUUGAGUUAACAUUUUAUUAGUAAAUCAUUUAAAUGGUUUUAUUUCUACUUAUGCUUUACAUUCAGUUGAGUAUGUUGCUUCAGCCUCUUCAGUUCAGUUAUUUAUUUUCCUCAGCUAUAUUACAUACUCGUACAUUCAAUGUACUGAUGUUAUUCGACCUGCAUCUUUUCAUGAUGCAGGUACAACUGUAGCUGUAUUAUUAUUCCAGUUUAAUUCAGACAUUAUAAAACCAUAGAGUAUUACUUGGAUUUGUUGUUUUUGAAAUUUACGUCAAGUUUCCUUUGCGAACAGCCUUCCUGUUAGGGUUCUCUUUUGGGGAUUUUAGACUUGAGAUUUCAACUUGCUGGUUCUCCUAAAUCAUUCUGGUGGAACUGGUAUGACUGAUACACCUGCUGGAGCUUGGCUAUUUGUGGUUGCUCUAAUCCUGCAGCAUGACAUAGGAGUAAACAUUUUACUAGUUGGUAAGUUGACAAACUCUCUCCUACCCUGUAAACAUGGAGUAUAGGAACUUUUAAGGUUUUAGUUGUGCUAACUAAAGUUGUGUUCUAUUAAUGUGUAGAAAUAAUAUAUGCUGAAAGAAUCAUAAAAAUGCUGAUGUAUUUUGCAAUUCAUGAUUGUAGCCAGUUCGUAUCAUGUUUAUUUAUAGGACAUCGAGUCACUUCUGUCCCUUUGGUAUUUGGUCAUUUCCUGCCAAGCUUGCUUCGUUAUAAUUCUACUAAAUUAUCCUGUUAUGUGGCGGAGAAACUUUAAUAAUGAUUAUAACUUGUUCGUCUAUACAUGAUUAAUAAGCAAUGAUCUUAAAAAUAGGUAUUUGAGAAGAAAGCCAAAAUGAUGCACAAGCCAAGGUUUCUUUCCCAUUGAAACAUGGAAGAUUCUUUUGCUAAUACCUAGGCAUGAUGCAUGUGCCUCAACAAUUAUUUCUGAAACAAGGCAUUGUUAGGUCGGAUUGAUACUGCAUUUGCCUUUCAAAAUUAUAAUGUGCAGAGGUAGGUCAAAAUUGAUUAGGCUUUCAGUUCCAUACUAAGAUUGACCUCUUGGAAAUCUUUAAGAUGUGCGGUAGUGUCUUUCAAUGGAAUUUCAUGAUAUUCUUUUUGCGAGUUCAUUUUGCCAAUCUAGGAGAUCUGCAAAUAUAAAUCCAAAUUGACUCCUGGUUCAGCUGAUUCUUCAACUUCAGAUGUAUCGUUUGUGAAGGAGUCAAUUGUUGACAUUGAAUUUCUGGAGAUGCACAAUCCUCUUGGGAUUAUAUUGGACAAUUUCAAUGUGUUAUUGCGGAGACAACAUGAGGCUCAUUAAAUCUUGAGAAUCUUGGACUAGAGGGAUCUGACAUUCAAGGGGAUAUCUUCUUUGAACUUUGAUGCACAUGGCAGAGUAAGGUUGGCUCAACUUGAAGAAUAGACAAGAUUCCAUUAUUAGCAGCGUCCUUGCUUGUUGGUGAGUGCAAAGGUAUCGAUAGGGCUAUGAAUGACAUCCACCAAUCCAGCAAGCUGGGCUGGAAAUGCUAAAAUCUUAGGGACCCUACAUGAUGCCCAACCAUACAUGAUCAGCAAUGGAGAUUUAUGUAGCUGAGGUAACUUUUCAAAAGUUGAGACACAUUUAUACAAAUUUGUAUGAAUAUUUCCAAUAUUUGAGACACUCUAAGCUUCAUCAAGAUUUCAUGCACUUGGAGCCUAGUAAUAUAUUGAGUUCGUCAUUUCUUUUGAUAAUUGAUUGCUUUUCUUGCAACAGGCUAUCAGUGCUCACAACCACAUUUACUGUCUCAUCAAUCUAAGGUACAUGUUGUCAUUGCUGACUGCCAAUUUCUAUGUAUUUUUUUGUUUCUGACAAACCCAAAAAAAAGAGAAUGGUAGUAACAAUGUAUUACAAAUAAAUGAAGAAGCUUAAAAAGUUCCUACAUAAUAUUCGUAAUGUGGAAAAGACAACUACUUUAUCUUAUUGUGGAAUGCAAUACACAAAAUGUGCAAACAUAUACUGAAGAGUAACACAAGAAAUAAAAGCGGAGCGGUUCCCCUUGUUGGUGUAUAAUGGUAUUGAAAUUCUUUAUUUCUCUGUUUCCUUGUGAUUGCAAGUCAUGUUUUCUUUAAUCAUUCAUUCAGAUUCAGACGUUUAAAUCUUAAUGAAAACAAAUGAGGCUUAAAUGACACGUCUACCUAAUGUUGUUGAGAGUCCAAACUGCCCUCAAUAUUGAAUUUUAAUUUGAUGAAACAAUCAUGUUGAUUCUAGAUCCUCACUCACUCUUCUAAUAGCAAAUAAUAUAUAAUCCGACAAAUGUUGAAUUUGGAAUGUAUUAAUAAAAUUUAUUUUCCUUAGAGAAGUCAUUUUUCUAAUUUUAAAAUAAUUUAGUAGAUGUUUUCCUAAACAACUCAAAUAUCAUGUAUUCACAAACCCCCCUUGAAAGCUGUCUACUAUAUAAACCACUCUCCCUUUUCCUUUUUUGCUCAUUCAUUCUUCUUCUCUUCAUAUAAAAGGUUUCUUCUGUGUACCAAAUAAUGCAGAGGAAAAAUAAAAGGCGGCGAUUCCAUCAAGAAACCCCCCUGAGAGAUCUCUAUAUCAACCACUCCCCCUCUUCUUUUUUAGCUCACUCAUUCAUUUCAUCAUAUAAAAAAAUUCUUCUAUCGGUUUCAAAUGACGCAGGAGGAAAAUCAGCAAGGCGACGAUUCCAUCAGGUGAGAUGCGUUUUAGGGGGUGCGAGGAAGAUGCCACGGGGGAGGUACACAACUGAGAUCAGUGAUCCUGGCCAGAGGAGAAGUGUUUUGCUUGGAACAUUUGAUACACCGAAGAAGCUGCUAGGGCUUAAGACCGGCGGUGAGGAGGUAUCACGGCCACAUGAGGUAACUAAUUUUACUCUAGAUAACCUCCAAAACACCCGCGAUUUUCUCGAGAAGCUUGUUUGCAAAAAACCAACAACAAAAGAAUAGAGCUCCAACAUUCUUAUGGAUAUUCAGAGCAUUAAAAUGAUGAUUCAGUGCGGAACCAAACAUCGACUCACAUUUUCGUGUUGAUCAAUGAAUAGAAUCUAUACAUCGCUAUCAAAAAAGAAUCAACGAUCUAGCUAUCUCGAUCGGGAAAGAAUCAAGGAUAUAUACAUCUCGAUCGGAAAAUAAUUGAGGGUCUAUACAUCUUGAUCUGAAAAGAAUCAAGGAUCUAUACAUCUCGAUCAAAAAAGUAUCAAGAGAACAAGAAAGAAUCAGAAUUGAUCCAUAGAUUUCUCGAAAUUAACAAAGUUGGUCCUCUCUUAUUGUUUCAUUUUCCUUUUAUAUUUUUUGAAUUUGAAAGGAAAUUAAAAGAAAAGGGACUUACGAAAUGUCAUACAUUUAAUAUUCGAUGACGGUUUGACAUGCUCUUUGACAGUGCAAGGGUGACCUCUGAGGUUAUCUUGUGGAAAUUUAGUUACGGCUAUGUGGCUGUGAUACCUCCUCGCUGCUGUAUCAUAAGCCCUAGAAGCUUUUUUCGAUGCAUCAAAAGUCUUGAGCCAGAAACUUCUCUGGAAGGGAUCUUUAAUAUCAGCUGUGUACCUCCUCCGCGGCAUCUUCCUCACACCUCCUUAUAACGCAUCUCACCUGAGGGAAUCGUCGUCUAUCAAUGACUAUUCAAUAAGUAUGUGGUGCCUUUCAAACCAUCUAAAUUUCAAGGGACAUUUGAAUCAAUUCUUUGUGAAUAUAUGACAGUUUAGGUGAUAUGCAUUUGUUUACCAGGUAAUUUCUUUGUACUCUUUAAUGUCACUUAUCACUUUAUCGAACUGUGCAAAUCAGUUUCAAAUUUGAUGGGCAUUCGCUGUUUAUGAUACAUAUCGGACAAGAAUAGAGAAUUGAGCGGAUGUUCAUCAGUACUUCACUGACGAAGGACUAUAUUUCCAAUUAGAAAUUAUCCAUCUCCACUUACAGUGACACAUGAUUGGUAUGAGUUCGUUCAUUUCAUUGUGUUAUUUUCCCCCAUUUUGGUGAUGUUGCGAAAUGAAAGUUCACAAUUGGUGGAGUAAUACAGAGCAUAUCAUAUAGGUUAGGUGUUAAUUAGUUAGUGGUAGUCUAGUGACAAGUUGUAGUGGUUGAAUGAAUAGUUCUCAGCAGGCUCUAAUAUUAACUUUGUAUGUUUUCUGUCAUUAUUGUGACAAUUUCUAAAAUACUGAUAAUCUCUGUUCACAAGUUCCUUCUUUUUUUUUUUUUGCUUUUCAAUUUUGGUGUGGCCACCUCAUGUGAUGCACAACUCCAGAGACAUAUUAAAUUAAAAGAGAAGACACCAAAGAUAAUAGGGAGUUCCUGAUUUCUACUGCAGGGUGCGACAUCAACCGGCACAGUAUGAUUCGUGAUACUGUUACAUACACUGAGCAUGCCAGUUAACGGGAUGUUGUGUAUGCCUUUAAGAGGCAGGGAAGGACCUUAUAUGGAUUUGGAGGUUAGGGUGUUA
RNAcentral lists this long non-coding RNA (5773 nucleotides) under Solanum tuberosum (potato). RNAcentral describes it as "long non-coding RNA (STUB_LNC010942)". Lineage: Eukaryota; Viridiplantae; Streptophyta; Magnoliopsida; Solanales; Solanaceae. The record is from RNAcentral.